ACAAAAAAUUUUCCAAGAAUGCCACAACACCUCAUGAUUAUGAAAAAUGGACACGUUCCAGGAUCCUGAAUGAGAGGUAAAUUAUUUUUCUUCUAAUUAUUUCUAACCUUCUCCUUUUAAAUUAUUUCUUGGACAAUUUUUCUUCGUAAUAUAUCAAUUUGUUUCAUGUUCUCAAUAGCAAGUUUUUUUAAUUUUCUAGAUGUGUGUUGCAAUUUCAAAGAAUGUCUCAAGUUGUUGGCUGGAGUGUUUUUGAUCACAAAAAUGAACACUGUCAUUGGAAAGUACAUAAAAGGUCUUAAAAUAUUUUCCUGUUUUAUCUUACAUGAAAUGUUUUGAACAUUAUAUGAUGGCCUGUGAUCAAUAGUUUAAAAAAUCCUAGCAGAUUAUUGUAAAAAUAGCAUGACCAUGUUACUUAUGACACAAAAUCCUCCUCGUGAG
Non-coding RNA from Paramuricea clavata, 438 nucleotides. The record is from the annotation of a GenBank genome assembly. NCBI's taxonomy places the organism in Eukaryota, Metazoa, Cnidaria, Anthozoa, Malacalcyonacea, Plexauridae.